GCGCGGUUAGCUCAGCUGGAAGAGCACUACCUUGACAUGGUAGGGGUCGCAGGUUCAAGUCCUGCACCGCGCACCA
Molecule: transfer RNA, 76 nt
Filed under: Limisphaerales bacterium
Lineage: Bacteria; Pseudomonadati; Verrucomicrobiota; Verrucomicrobiia; Limisphaerales
Description: Verrucomicrobia subdivision 3 bacterium (hot springs metagenome) tRNA-Val
Rfam family: tRNA
About the family: Transfer RNA (tRNA) molecules are approximately 80 nucleotides in length. Their secondary structure includes four short double-helical elements and three loops (D, anti-codon, and T loops).
Source: RNAcentral